GGACCACGGCAGGUUCCGAUGUUUCAUCCACGCCUCGGGAUAGACACAGAACUUCUGCUUGUUGUUGAUCCAAACUUUGUUUCCAUGACGAUAGAGACGGUUCCUCACAGAAACCUCAUCACUCCGACGCCACAGGAGGAAACCGUGACGAUCGGUCAACGGACCAGAUUCCAUCUUUGCCUUUUUGUUUUUUCAUUCUUCAUCAUUUGUCUUGGUCCGGUUUCCAUUUGCGUCAUAAGAAAAUCCAGACAAAUAUAGGAAGUGAGUCAAAUUUCUUCUGAGAAUAUAUUAUUUUCUCCAUGAAAUCUUUAAAUUUUCCGUCUUCAGGUAAACUUACCUGAUGUAUUAAUUUAAUUUAAAGAAAACCACAAGAUGGAGAAGUCUAUAAUCACUUAUAGUGAAAGGAAUGUGAACAGUGGACACGUCAGUUCAUCACAGGAGACUUUAAAUAUCCAGUGUAAACAAAUUCUCUCUUUUUUUUAACCACUCAACCUUUCUCCUAUUAAAGCUGCAGUAUGUAACUUUUAUAAAAAUAUAUUUCUUACAUAUUUUUUUCACUUUGGGUUAUGAGACAUGUAAUCUGUAAAAAAUGACAACACAAAAUGACUGAGGUUUUCAGUGUGUCUGUGGUUUUCUGACGGGUCUCUUUUGCUGCUUUCGCUCAGUGCUAACUAGAAACAACCAGUCAUUGCCAGGAGGCGGGUCUUAGUGCUGUCAAUCACCCUCCUUGCUUUCUGAGUUGAGAACAAAACAUUUUAUUUUAAUAUUAACUCAUUUUAUUAUUUUGCCAGUAAAGGCCUCAGUACUUCCUGUCUUACACAACCAGCAACCUGCUAAGUCAGAUCUUAGCACGGUGUCAAGAAAACUGAGAUCCUCCUACUUCCCCAUGCUGAAGAUUUAAGUUCAACAAUAAAAAAUAAUUAAAGUUAUCUUUAAAAUUAAUCACACAAGUGACAUCUAGACCCAGCAGUAGACUUAAACUUCCAUAAAAUCAAUCUGGUUGUGUGUGUUGUUUAUGUCUCCUGCAAACUUUGCUUUAAUUAUUUGUUUUUUUUCUAUCCAAUUAUAAGAAAUCAUAGUCAGACAGAGCGAGUCAUAAAACAGGAAGAGCAGGUUUCCUGAAAAAAAAAGGAAGUAAGUUCCCAGCCUGCAGAUUUAUUAAAAUAGUUUAAACUGUUCCUUAUUUCAAAGCAUGAAAGGUAUAAAGAACAUUUUGACAUUUUGAGUAAUUGGAUAAGAUUCAAAGUAAAAUACUUAUAUUAAUAUUGGUUUAUUGUAAGAAUACUUGC
This is a long non-coding RNA of Gambusia affinis (western mosquitofish), 1289 nucleotides long. RefSeq lists it as uncharacterized. The transcript has 3 exons. The record is from RefSeq and is a predicted model, not a curated record. Lineage: Eukaryota; Metazoa; Chordata; Actinopteri; Cyprinodontiformes; Poeciliidae.